This 253-nucleotide ribosomal RNA is filed under the name uncultured bacterium. RNAcentral describes it as "partial 16S ribosomal RNA". It matches the Rfam family "Bacterial small subunit ribosomal RNA", at positions 524 to 776 of the family's 1533-position model. The record is from RNAcentral.
UACGUAGGGUGCAAGCGUUGUCCGGAAUUAUUGGGCGUAAAGAGUUCGUAGGCGGUUUGUCGCGUCCGUUGUGAAAGCUUGGGGCUCAACCCCAAGUCUGCAGUGGAUACGGGCAGGCUAGAGUCAGGUAGGGGAGAACGGAAUUCCUGGUGUAGCGGUGAAAUGCGCAGAUAUCAGGAAGAACACCCGUGGCUAAGGCGGUUCUCUAGUACGGUACUGACGCUGAGACGCGAAAGCGUGGGGAGCGAACAGG